RNAcentral lists this long non-coding RNA (839 nucleotides) under Brachypodium distachyon (stiff brome). Its description in RNAcentral is "long non-coding RNA (BDIS_LNC004143)". The record is from RNAcentral. Lineage: Eukaryota; Viridiplantae; Streptophyta; Magnoliopsida; Poales; Poaceae.
CCACGAGCAUGACAUCAUUGAGACAUUGACAUCCCGGCCGGCCGUGUUCGCGUUCGGCGACUCGACGCCGGCAACAAUAACCGGUUCAUGACGCUGGUGCGCACCAAAGGGUCUGACCGGGGCCAGAAAUUCAAAAAAGAUCCCUGUACCGCACAGGGCAGGAGAGAUUAGCUCGCUCUAAAUCACCCGGUGUUAGCAACUAGCACAUCAUUGAAUUCGUGUCAGACAUCUCACUUCUUUUUCGAUCCAACGGAAGCUGGCCCCUGGUGCACUGUACCCUUGAGCCAAAACGCCACACUCAUCCCUAUUCAAGCCUGAAUCCCUAUCCCUAGGUAUAUAUACGUACUAUGUAGUGUAUAUAUGUUGGAUCAAGCAGGAGGACUAAAAAAGAAAAAACGAGACCGAUUGUGGAUAUAUCCUCAUCCUGAUCUUAGGUAGAGACGUGGCUGAUGAGCAUCACAUUAAUUAUGUAACGGUGGUAGAGGCCGGGGAUUCAACCUCCUUUUUGAAAAAAAAAUGUAACGGUGGCAGAGGAAGAGAACUCGACUGAGUGGGAAAGGUGGCAAUGGCAUGCGUAUAUAUAUAGAUCGAGAGAGGCUGAGGCGCAGGUACAAUGCAUAAAAGGGCGGUGGGUGGAGCAUGAUACGAAUUCAUCAAUGAAACCUGACAAACUGUGUAGAUGCAUGUGAUAAUUAACUUAAUUAGAUUAGGUCAGAUCAGAUGGCCCCGUGGCAUCACGUACGCUGCCAUCAAAAUAGUCCACACAUCAAAAUUCUUGUGUCGUAUCAUAUGACACGUGGCUAGAAUAUUAGCCCUCAAAACUAAUCUAACAGUAUCAA